GCGGCCUAUCAGCUUGUUGGUGAGGUAAUGGCUCACCAAGGCAACGACGGGUAGCCGGCCUGAGAGGGCGACCGGCCACACUGGGACUGAGACACGGCCCAGACUCCUACGGGAGGCAGCAGUGGGGAAUAUUGGGCAAUGGAGGAAACUCUGACCCAGCGACGCCGCGUGCGGGAUGAAGGCCUUCGGGUUGUAAACCGCUUUCAGUAGGGAAGAGGCGAAAGUGACGGUACCUACAAAAGAAGCACCGGCUAACUAUGUGCCAGCAGCCGCGGUAAUACAUAGGGUGCAAGCGUUGUCCGGAAUUAUUGGGCGUAAAGAGCUCGUAGGUCGUUUGUCGCGUCGAUUGUGAAAAUCUGAGGCUCAACCUCAGACCUGCAUUCGAUACGGGCAAACUAGAGUGUGGUAGGGGAGACUGGAAUUCCU
RNAcentral lists this ribosomal RNA (426 nucleotides) under uncultured Actinomycetes bacterium. RNAcentral describes it as "bacterial SSU rRNA". It matches the Rfam family "Bacterial small subunit ribosomal RNA", at positions 233 to 671 of the family's 1533-position model. The record is from RNAcentral. Lineage: Bacteria; Bacillati; Actinomycetota; Actinomycetes.